GUGGGGAAUAUUGCGCAAUGGGGGAAACCCUGACGCAGCGACGCCGCGUGGGUGAUGAAGGCCUUCGGGUCGUAAAGCCCUGUCGGAGGGGAAGAAGGACUCUCGUGCAAAUAGUUCGAGGGUUUGACGGUACCCUUAGAGGAAGCACCGGCUAACUCCGUGCCAGCAGCCGCGGUAAUACGGAGGGUGCAAGCGUUGCUCGGAAUUACUGGGCGUAAAGGGCGUGUAGGCGGUUUCGUAUGUCUGGCGUGAAAGCCCCGGGCUCACCUCGGGAAGUGCGUCGGAAACUGCGAGACUAGAGUCCCGGAGAGGGAGGUGGAAUUCCAGGUGUAGCGGUGAAAUGCGUAGAUAUCUGGAAGAACACCGGUGGCGAAAGCGGCCUCCUGGACGGUGACUGACGCUGAGACGCGAAAGCGUGGGGAGCAAACAGGAUUAGAUACCCUUGUAGUCC
RNAcentral lists this ribosomal RNA (451 nucleotides) under uncultured bacterium. Its description in RNAcentral is "bacterial SSU rRNA". It matches the Rfam family "Bacterial small subunit ribosomal RNA", at positions 354 to 796 of the family's 1533-position model. The record is from RNAcentral.